This 134-nucleotide ribosomal RNA is filed under the name uncultured eukaryote. Its description in RNAcentral is "partial small subunit ribosomal RNA". It matches the Rfam family "Eukaryotic small subunit ribosomal RNA", at positions 1651 to 1792 of the family's 1831-position model. The record is from RNAcentral.
CCCUGCCAUUUGUACACACCGCCCGUCGCUCCUACCAACUGGAUGAAGAGAUGAAUUUGAGCGACUGGCCAAUUUUUUUUUAAUUUGGCUGGGAAAUCAACUGAAUCUCUUUAUCUGUAGGAAGGAAAAGUCGU